RNAcentral lists this transfer RNA (72 nucleotides) under Camelus bactrianus (Bactrian camel). It matches the Rfam family "tRNA". Rfam says of the family: Transfer RNA (tRNA) molecules are approximately 80 nucleotides in length. The record is from Rfam by way of RNAcentral. RNAcentral also lists the same sequence under 2 other names. Lineage: Eukaryota; Metazoa; Chordata; Mammalia; Artiodactyla; Camelidae.
GAGGGUAUAGCUCAGUGAUAGAGCACAUCCUUAGCAUGCACGAGGCCCUAGGUUCAAUCCCCAGUAUCUUCA